This 88-nucleotide non-coding RNA is filed under the name Clostridium grantii. Its description in RNAcentral is "c-di-GMP sequence". It matches the Rfam family "c-di-GMP-I riboswitch aptamer". From Rfam's summary of the family: GEMM was predicted in a large-scale screen for bacterial structured RNA regulatory elements. The record is from RNAcentral. Lineage: Bacteria; Bacillati; Bacillota; Clostridia; Eubacteriales; Clostridiaceae. RNAcentral also lists the same sequence under 1 other name.
ACUCGAUAAUAGCAAAAUUAGUGAAAGCUAAUGACGCAAAACUACAGGGACUAACAUGUUUUUAACAUAAUGUCAGCCAGUUGCCGAA